Molecule: long non-coding RNA, 510 nt
Filed under: Sinocyclocheilus anshuiensis
Lineage: Eukaryota; Metazoa; Chordata; Actinopteri; Cypriniformes; Cyprinidae
Description: lncRNA (ENSSANG00000035229.1)
Source: RNAcentral
CUUCGGCAGUGUGUGUUCAGAGAGAAACGUCAACUUUAUCUCCUUCUCCACUGCAGUGCCUGAAUCCAAUUUCUCAGAAGAAUCUAUUUCUGCAUCAUAUCUGGACACCAUUCCAUUUGUGUUGCUCGUCACUGAUGGUUUACUGAGAUGCUUAAAGAUGCAACGCACACUGGAGACAAUGUACAAUAUGGUUCUGCUGGAGAGGAAACACUCUCCAUCUGCACUGCAGCUGGGUGGAACCCAUUAUGAUGUCAUCACUGUGGACGAGAACACCGCCAUCCUCAUCCAGGUGACGCUCUAUAUACACACUUGCUCUACCAUUCACAAAGUGACCCUGAACGUGUAAAUCCUGUGUGUCUGUGUUCAGGAGCUGAGUGAGUUGGACAUGAGGAUUGGAGUGGCGUCUGAGCGUGUCGUCAUGAGACUCACAGUCCUCUCUCUGCAGUUCAGCCACUGCUGGGUCAUUCUGCACUGCACUGAGAACCACAGGGCACUGUCAGUUUGAAAUAC